CUGUCGUAUCUUGCAGCAUCCAAAGGUAUAAAGCCAAUAGCAGACAGGGCAAGUUCAAUAUGGUUGUACAUAGUACCUCAUGGUAUUAGAAGCUUAUUGAACUACAUCAAGCAAAAGUAUGAGAACCCUCUAAUCAUAAUCACUGAAAAUGGAAUGGAUGAUUCAAAUAGCAUAUUCACAUCACGAGAAUAUACUCUCAAGGAUACAAAAAGGAUCAAUUGUCACAAUAAC
This is a long non-coding RNA of Solanum pennellii, 231 nucleotides long. RefSeq lists it as uncharacterized. NCBI's taxonomy places the organism in Eukaryota, Viridiplantae, Streptophyta, Magnoliopsida, Solanales, Solanaceae. The transcript is spliced from 3 exons. The record is from RefSeq and is a predicted model, not a curated record.